UACGUAGGGGGCUAGCGUUGUCCGGAUUUAUUGGGCGUAAAGAGCGUGUAGGCGGCCAGGCAAGUCCGACGUGAAAUCUGGAGGCUCAACCUCCAGCGGUCGUUGGAAACUGCUUGGCUAGAGUCCGGAAGAGGAGAGUGGAAUUCCUGGUGUAGCGGUGAAAUGCGCAGAUAUCAGGAAGAACACCGAUGGCGAAAGCAGCUCUCUGGGACGGUACUGACGCUGAGACGCGAAAGCGUGGGGAGCAAACAGG
RNAcentral lists this ribosomal RNA (253 nucleotides) under uncultured bacterium. RNAcentral describes it as "partial 16S ribosomal RNA". It matches the Rfam family "Bacterial small subunit ribosomal RNA", at positions 524 to 776 of the family's 1533-position model. The record is from RNAcentral.